Molecule: small RNA, 126 nt
Filed under: Marmota monax (woodchuck)
Lineage: Eukaryota; Metazoa; Chordata; Mammalia; Rodentia; Sciuridae
Source: RNAcentral
GCUAGACAUGGUGACUCAUGACUGUAAUCCCAGCAACUGGGAGGCUGAAGCAGGAGGAUUGCAAGUUAAAGGCCAGCUUCAGCAACUUGGUGAGGCCCUAAGCAACUUAGUGAGACUUUGUCUCAA